AACGAACGUUGGCGGCGUGGAUUAGGCAUGCAAGUCGAACGAAUCCCUGGGGGCUUGCUCUCAGGGGAAAGUGGCGAAAGGGGCAGUAAGGCGUGGGUAACCUACCCUGGGGACUGGGAUAGCCGUCCUAACGGACGGGUAAUACCGGGCGACGUAGCGGAGGGGCAUCUCUUUGCUACCAAAUGAAUUUCGCCCUGGGAGGGGCUCACGUGGUAUUAGCUAGUUGGUGGGGUAAUGGCCUACCAAGGCUUAGAUGCCUAGCUGGUGUGAGAGCACGACCAGCGCCACUGGCACUGCGACACUGGCCAGACU
Molecule: ribosomal RNA, 312 nt
Filed under: uncultured Planctomycetota bacterium
Lineage: Bacteria; Pseudomonadati; Planctomycetota
Description: bacterial SSU rRNA
Rfam family: Bacterial small subunit ribosomal RNA
Source: RNAcentral